Molecule: long non-coding RNA, 335 nt
Filed under: Cricetulus griseus (Chinese hamster)
Lineage: Eukaryota; Metazoa; Chordata; Mammalia; Rodentia; Cricetidae
Description: lncRNA (ENSCGRG00000025853.1)
Source: RNAcentral
GGUAGUUUUUGCAUAAUUGCCAUGGGAAAAUCCAAUGAGGACCUGAUGUGCCCACCACGCAGAAAACUCCUGUGGUAACUGGUUUGGGGUCUGUCAUCCCAGAUCUGUGUCUUCCCACCGUGCUGUGUCCAGAACCUAACACGGCGAUGGACCCCGCAACAGAAAAUCGAUGGGUGUUUGCUGAAUUGAAAGGAGAAGCUUGACGAAGGUGGUCUGCAAAUCGCAUUGACUAUCUACCACAUGUCAAACCUUGUUCCCAAAGGGUGGGAGAAACAGCCUUGGCCAAGAAUGACACCUGUGCUGGGAAAUACAGGUCUCGAAACCCAGGAGCCACC